This is a non-coding RNA of Pelodiscus sinensis (Chinese soft-shelled turtle), 1002 nucleotides long. NCBI's taxonomy places the organism in Eukaryota, Metazoa, Chordata, Testudines, Trionychidae. The record is from RefSeq and is a predicted model, not a curated record.
UAUGAUGCUGGGUCUGCAGACAAGCAUCACAUUUCCCAAGAGGUUUCCAAGAGGAGUUCCAUUUGGGAGUUGGGCUAGACUUGAAAGGGAGCAGGCUGGAGAGUCUUCUGCAAGGCAUCACAUCAAAGGAGAGUUAAAGGAAGGAUUUGAAGGAGGCUAGUGAGGUGAAUUUACAACUUUGCAAGUCUCAUUACAUACCUGCUUGCUGGGUGCAUUCUACUGAUUGAGAAAUGAUCCACAAUACCAGAAAAUAUUCCCAACAAAUAGUUGAGCCCAGCCUGGGAAGAAGGGUGAGAUGAUUUUCAGUUACACCACUCUUCAUGUUUCGUGAUAUCAUCCAGGUUAUCCAAACUGGAAGAUACAGGUUUUAAACACUCAAAAAUUUGGUGGGGUGGAGCAAUAUGGUUGGGCUACAGAUUUUGCCUCAGCCCAUCCUAAAGAUAAAGGCCAGUUGUCAAGUAUAGGUCCAGAUUCUGAUUCUUCUACAUGCCAGUGAUGCUGGAAAACCAUAUAAAAUGCUUUUUAACAUCCCUAGUGAAGACUGCCAAACUGACCAUCGAUCACUCUCCUGUUGUCUCUGGUUCUCCACUGGAACAGGAUGAAUAUAGGGAGUUGACAGGAGAGUUCUUUUUGUCAACCCAGUGCAGUGUGGACCCUGUGGUAGAAGAAUCUAAGCUCCAUCGUUUUGAGGGACACUACCAAUGCAACUCAAAUUGCAUAACAAGGUUAACUUGUCCUUGUAGGGUAAACCUGCUCUUAGUUUUGAAUGCACCCAAGUCUUUGUGCAUGCAAACACAGGAAAAUUGCAUUCUCCUGAGUAAAUGUCAGAAUUCAAGAUGCAGCUUUUUCACUCACAGCUGAUCUUUGCAUAUAUAAAAGUUACAGCUGUCAAAAAGUCAAUGCUAAAAAUUGUGGAUACUUGUUUGGAGUUAAAGUUCUGAAAAUGUGGUCAUAAAUAAGGUUCAAGCAGAAGCUUCUUGUAAAUGAUGAUUUCCAAGGGGA